UUAAGCGACUAAGCGUACACGGUGGAUGCCCUGGCAGUCAGAGGCGAUGAAGGACGUGCUAAUCUGCGAAAAGCGUCGGUAAGGUGAUAUGAACCGUUAUAACCGGCGAUGUCCGAAUGGGGAAACCCAGUGUGAUUCGUCACACUAUCGUUAACUGAAUACAUAGGUUAACGAGGCGAACCGGGGGAACUGAAACAUCUAAGUACCCCGAGGAAAAGAAAUCAACCGAGAUUCCCCCAGUAGCGGCGAGCGAACGGGGAGCAGCCCAGAGUCUGAAUCAGCUUGUGUGUUAGUGGAACGGUCUGGAAAGUCCGACGGUACAGGGUGAUAGUCCCGUACACCAAAAUGCACAGGUUGUGAACUCGAAGAGUAGGGCGGGACACGUGGUAUCCUGUCUGAAUAUGGGGGGACCAUCCUCCAAGGCUAAAUACUCCUGACUGACCGAUAGUGAACCAGUACCGUGAGGGAAAGGCGAAAAGAACCCCGGCGAGGGGAGUGAAAAAGAACCUGAAACCGUGUACGUACAAGCAGUGGGAGCACCUUCGGGUGUGACUGCGUACCUUUUGUAUAAUGGGUCAGCGACUUAUAUUCUGUAGCAAGGUUAACCGUAUAGGGGAGCCGCAGGGAAACCGAGUCUUAACUGGGCGUUAAGUUGCAGGGUAUAGACCCGAAACCCGGUGAUCUAGCCAUGGGCAGGUUGAAGGUUGGGUAACACUAACUGGAGGACCGAACCGACUAAUGUUGAAAAAUUAGCGGAUGACUUGUGGCUGGGGGUGAAAGGCCAAUCAAACCGGGAGAUAGCUGGUUCUCCCCGAAAGCUAUUUAGGUAGCGCCUCGUGAAUUCAUCUUCGGGGGUAGAGCACUGUUUCGGCUAGGGGGUCAUCCCGACUUACCAACCCGAUGCAAACUACGAAUACCGAAGAAUGUUAUCACGGGAGACACACGGCGGGUGCUAACGUCCGUCGUGAAGAGGGAAACAACCCAGACCGCCAGCUAAGGUCCCAAAGUCAUGGUUAAGUGGGAAACGAUGUGGGAAGGCACAGACAGCCAGGAUGUUGGCUUAGAAGCAGCCAUCAUUUAAAGAAAGCGUAAUAGCUCACUGGUCGAGUCGGCCUGCGCGGAAGAUGUAACGGGGCUAAACCAUGCACCGAAGCUGCGGCAGCGACACUAUGUGUUGUUGGGUAGGGGAGCGUUCUGUAAGCCUGCGAAGGUGACCUGUGAGGGUUGCUGGAGGUAUCAGAAGUGCGAAUGCUGACAUAAGUAACGAUAAAGCGGGUGAAAAGCCCGCUCGCCGGAAGACCAAGGGUUCCUGUCCAACGUUAAUCGGGGCAGGGUGAGUCGACCCCUAAGGCGAGGCCGAAAGGCGUAGUCGAUGGGAAACAGGUUAAUAUUCCUGUACUUGGUGUUACUGCGAAGGGGGGACGGAGAAGGCUAUGUUAGCCGGGCGACGGUUGUCCCGGUUUAAGCAUGUAGGCUGGUUAUCCAGGCAAAUCCGGAUAAUCAAGGCUGAGGUGUGAUGACGAGGUACUACGGUGCUGAAGUAACAAAUGCCCUGCUUCCAGGAAAAGCCUCUAAGCAUCAGGUAACAUCAAAUCGUACCCCAAACCGACACAGGUGGUCAGGUAGAGAAUACCAAGGCGCUUGAGAGAACUCGGGUGAAGGAACUAGGCAAAAUGGUGCCGUAACUUCGGGAGAAGGCACGCUGGUGUGUAGGUGAAGUCCCUGCGGAUGGAGCUGAGACCAGUCGAAGAUACCAGCUGGCUGCAACUGUUUAUUAAAAACACAGCACUGUGCAAACACGAAAGUGGACGUAUACGGUGUGACGCCUGCCCGGUGCCGGAAGGUUAAUUGAUGGGGUUAUCCGUAAGGAGAAGCUCUUGAUCGAAGCCCCGGUAAACGGCGGCCGUAACUAUAACGGUCCUAAGGUAGCGAAAUUCCUUGUCGGGUAAGUUCCGACCUGCACGAAUGGCGUAAUGAUGGCCAGGCUGUCUCCACCCGAGACUCAGUGAAAUUGAACUCGCUGUGAAGAUGCAGUGUACCCGCGGCAAGACGGAAAGACCCCGUGAACCUUUACUAUAGCUUGACACUGAACAUUGAGCCUUGAUGUGUAGGAUAGGUGGGAGGCUUUGAAGCGUGGACGCCAGUCUGCGUGGAGCCAACCUUGAAAUACCACCCUUUAAUGUUUGAUGUUCUAACGUUGGCCCCUUAUCGGGGUUGCGGACAGUGUCUGGUGGGUAGUUUGACUGGGGCGGUCUCCUCCCAAAGCGUAACGGAGGAGCACGAAGGUUAGCUAAUCCUGGUCGGACAUCAGGAGGUUAGUGCAAUGGCAUAAGCUAGCUUGACUGCGAGCGUGACGGCGCGAGCAGGUGCGAAAGCAGGUCAUAGUGAUCCGGUGGUUCUGAAUGGAAGGGCCAUCGCUCAACGGAUAAAAGGUACUCCGGGGAUAACAGGCUGAUACCGCCCAAGAGUUCAUAUCGACGGCGGUGUUUGGCACCUCGAUGUCGGCUCAUCACAUCCUGGGGCUGAAGUAGGUCCCAAGGGUAUGGCUGUUCGCCAUUUAAAGUGGUACGCGAGCUGGGUUUAGAACGUCGUGAGACAGUUCGGUCCCUAUCUGCCGUGGGCGCUGGAGAAUUGAGGGGGGCUGCUCCUAGUACGAGAGGACCGGAGUGGACGCAUCACUGGUGUUCGGGUUGUCAUGCCAAUGGCACUGCCCGGUAGCUAAAUGCGGAAGAGAUAAGUGCUGAAAGCAUCUAAGCACGAAACUUGCCCCGAGAUGAGUUCUCCCUGAGACUUUAAGUCUCCUGAAGGAACGUUAAAGACGAUGACGUUGAUAGGCCGGGUGUGUAAGCGCAGCGAUGCGUUGAGCUAACCGGUACUAAUGAACCGUGAGGCUUAACCUU
RNAcentral lists this ribosomal RNA (2900 nucleotides) under Klebsiella aerogenes. RNAcentral's name for it is "bacterial LSU rRNA". It matches the Rfam family "Bacterial large subunit ribosomal RNA". Lineage: Bacteria; Pseudomonadati; Pseudomonadota; Gammaproteobacteria; Enterobacterales; Enterobacteriaceae. The record is from RNAcentral. RNAcentral also lists the same sequence under 1 other name.